GAAACGUUCCACCUUUUAAUCUGGACUUUUCACCUAGCUUCCUUUACUCCAAGAAACUAUAAGUUUAGCCUCUCAUCCUCUGGGAAAACAUCCUCAGAGGCUGUUUGGCUUCCAAGAAAAUAGAAAAUAGUAGAGAGAAAAAGAAAGCAAAAGAGAUCUCUGUAUUUCACUAAGUGUAGAAUUUACAUCAGUUGGUCUCCUGGAGAAAGCUCCCGAGAGUGUUUUUUUCAGUGUUUACAAGAGAAUUUAUAUAAGAAGGUAAUUUUACCCUUCCUUGGAUACUUCCUAGCUAAGGAAUUACAUGAGUGGCUGAAUACAAGGAGAAAAUGGAAAUUUAGACACAAAAAUAUCAGAAGAAAAAGAGUCGGCAAAAAUAUCCAAUUUUCG
RNAcentral lists this long non-coding RNA (387 nucleotides) under Vitis vinifera (wine grape). RNAcentral's name for it is "long non-coding RNA (VVIN_LNC006126)". Lineage: Eukaryota; Viridiplantae; Streptophyta; Magnoliopsida; Vitales; Vitaceae. The record is from RNAcentral.